Molecule: non-coding RNA, 21 nt
Filed under: Caenorhabditis elegans
Lineage: Eukaryota; Metazoa; Nematoda; Chromadorea; Rhabditida; Rhabditidae
Source: RNAcentral
UUCAUUUUUAAUUAGUUCAAC